This 500-nucleotide ribosomal RNA is filed under the name uncultured bacterium. Its description in RNAcentral is "bacterial SSU rRNA". It matches the Rfam family "Bacterial small subunit ribosomal RNA", at positions 1030 to 1529 of the family's 1533-position model. The record is from RNAcentral.
CAAGACAGGUGGUGCAUGGUUGUCGUCAGCUCGUGUCGUGAGAUGUUGGGUUAAGUCCCGCAACGAGCGCAACCCUUAUCUUCAGUAGCCAGCAGGUAAAGCCGGGCACUCUGGAGAGACUGCCGGGGAUAACCCGGAGGAAGGUGGGGAUGACGUCAAAUCAUCAUGCCCCUUAUGAUUUGGGCUACACACGUGCUACAAUGGCGUAAACAGAGGGAAGCGAGCCCGCGAGGGGGAGCAAAUCCCAAAAAUAACGUCCCAGUUCGGAUUGUAGUCUGCAACCCGACUACAUGAAGCUGGAAUCGCUAGUAAUCGCGGAUCAGAAUGCCGCGGUGAAUACGUUCCCGGGUCUUGUACACACCGCCCGUCACACCAUGGGAGUCGGAAAUGCCCGAAGUCUGUGACCUAACCGUAAGGGAGGAGCAGCCGAAGGCAGGUCGGAUGACUGGGGUGAAGUCGUAACAAGGUAGCCGUAUCGGAAGGUGCGGCUGGAUCACCUC